UUUGGGAGGCAGAGAUAGGAGGAUUGCUUGAGCCUAGAAAUUUGAGACCAGCCUGGGCAACAUAAUGAUAUCCCAUCUCUGCAAAAAUUAAAUAAGUAACUGUGUGUGGUAUCCGUGCCACUGCACUCCAGCCUGGCAACAGAGCGAGCCUUCAUAUAAAAAAAAAUUGUAACUACAUCCAAGCAUUAACUUGGAAUAUAUAUAGUUAUAUUCACACACACACACACGUGUGUGUAUAUAUAUAUGUGUGUGUGUAUAUAUAUAUUUUUGAACUUGGGGUGGGAAAUCAGCAUACUCUAAUGAACUGUUGUUUUUACUUAACAAGUUUGUUUCCUUUAUUUUCCAAUUCUUGACCAACACUAAGAUGUCUAUGUUUUUCUAUGUAUGUUGGAGCAAUCUCUAGAAAAAAUUGUCUACAAGUCCCCAACCAAUGUCUUGUAUGCAUUAAUGAUAGUCUAUUUCUACUUUUGAAGU
RNAcentral lists this long non-coding RNA (474 nucleotides) under Homo sapiens (human). Its description in RNAcentral is "non-protein coding lnc-ZNF546-3:2". Lineage: Eukaryota; Metazoa; Chordata; Mammalia; Primates; Hominidae. The record is from RNAcentral.